This 358-nucleotide unclassified non-coding RNA is filed under the name soil metagenome. RNAcentral describes it as "partial contains 5.8S ribosomal RNA, internal transcribed spacer 2, and large subunit ribosomal RNA". The stretch from base 1 to 120 matches the Rfam family "5.8S ribosomal RNA", at positions 35 to 154 of the family's 154-position model. The record is from RNAcentral.
GAUGAAGAACGCAGCAAAAUGCGAUAAGUAGUGUGAAUUGCAGAAUUCAGUGAAUCAUCGAAUCUUUGAACGCACAUUGCGCCCGUCAGUAUUCUGGCGGGCAUGCCUGUUCGAGCGUCAUUACGCCCCUCAAGUCCCCUGUGGACUUGGUGUUGGGGAUCGGCGAGGCUGGUUUUCCAGCACAGCCGUCCCUUAAAUUAAUUGGCGGUCUCGCCGUGGCCCUCCUCUGCGCAGUAGUAAAACACUCGCAACAGGAGCCCGGCGCGGUCCACUGCCGUAAAACCCCCCAACUUUUUAUAGUUGACCUCGAAUCAGGUAGGACUACCCGCUGAACUUAAGCAUAUCAAUAAGCGGAGGA